RNAcentral lists this transfer RNA (81 nucleotides) under Symbiochloris handae. RNAcentral describes it as "tRNA-Leu". It matches the Rfam family "tRNA". From Rfam's summary of the family: Transfer RNA (tRNA) molecules are approximately 80 nucleotides in length. Their secondary structure includes four short double-helical elements and three loops (D, anti-codon, and T loops). Further hydrogen bonds mediate the characteristic L-shaped molecular structure. tRNAs have two regions of fundamental functional importance: the anti-codon, which is responsible for specific mRNA codon recognition, and the 3' end, to which the tRNAs corresponding amino acid is attached (by aminoacyl-tRNA synthetases). tRNAs cope with the degeneracy of the genetic code in two manners: having more than one tRNA (with a specific anti-codon) for a particular amino acid; and 'wobble' base-pairing, i.e. permitting non-standard base-pairing at the 3rd anti-codon position. The record is from RNAcentral. Lineage: Eukaryota; Viridiplantae; Chlorophyta; Trebouxiophyceae; Trebouxiales; Trebouxiaceae.
GCCCUUGUGGUGAAAUGGUAGACACACCAGUUUUAGGAACUGGCGCUUAACAGUGUGUCGGUUCAAGUCCGACUGAGGGCA